Nilaparvata lugens (brown planthopper) is the source of this 383-nucleotide long non-coding RNA. RefSeq lists it as uncharacterized. The record is from RefSeq and is a predicted model, not a curated record. The transcript has 3 exons. NCBI's taxonomy places the organism in Eukaryota, Metazoa, Arthropoda, Insecta, Hemiptera, Delphacidae.
GCCGGUACUCUGUGUCUGAGACAUAGAGAAGCUGCUUGUGCUGUGGUUAGGCCUUUCCUAUCUCUUUCUUUAUCACUAUAUCCUAUUACGUGGAUCGUGGAGUUUACUGAACUUACUUGCUUCUUUGUGUUAUUUUAUGAUUCAAAUAAUUAUAAGGUUCCAGAAAAUUGGUUUCGCUUAAAGGCUUUGAUUAUUAGGACAAACCUGGAAGGCGUGGAGGAUUAGGAUUGUGAAAUAAUCUGCCAAAUUCCAAAAUCAAACAAAACUGCCAAACAGGACACCUUCCAUUACAAACUACCAAAAUGAACUCGUCAAAUCUUUGGUCCUUCCGGAAUGACAUGAUACGAUUACAGAAAGAUUUUCUCCGGAUAAAAACGACUACU